Molecule: unclassified non-coding RNA, 298 nt
Filed under: Exobasidium kishianum
Lineage: Eukaryota; Fungi; Basidiomycota; Exobasidiomycetes; Exobasidiales; Exobasidiaceae
Description: partial contains 5.8S ribosomal RNA, internal transcribed spacer 2, and large subunit ribosomal RNA
Source: RNAcentral
CGCACCUUGCGCUCCUUGGUAUUCCUUGGAGCAUGCCUGUUUGAGUGUCUUGAAUAUCUCUGCUCUUGUAGUUUUUUAUUAAAUUGCAACGAGUCAGGUCCUUGGGUCUGCUUGCGGUUUGUUACGAACACAAGCUUGCCUUAAAUGUAUUAGCUGGAUUUCAGUAGAGUUGUUAAGUAACAUUGAAAACUCUCAUAACAGGAAAUCUGCUUUCGAAUCAGUUUUGUCUCUUUAUUGUAGACACUACUACUUUUUCUAUUUUGGCCUCAAAUCAGGUAGGACUACCCGCUGAACUUAA